AACGAACGCUGGCGGCAUGCCUAACACAUGCAAGUCGAACGAGACCUUCGGGUCGAGUGGCGCACGGGUGCGUAACGCGUGGGAACCUGCCCUUAGGUUCGGAAUAACUCCCCGAAAGGGGUGCUAAUACCGGAUAAUGUCUUCGGACCAAAGAUUUAUCGCCUUUGGAUGGGCCCGCGUUGGAUUAGCUAGUUGGUAGGGUAAAAGCCUACCAAGGCGACGAUCCAUAGCUGGUCUGAGAGGAUGAUCAGCCACACUGGGACUGGGACACGGCCCAGACUCCUACGGGAGGCAGCAGUGGGGAAUAUUGGACAAUGGGCGAAAGCCUGAUCCAGCAAUGCCGCGUGAGUGAUGAAGGCCUUAGGGUUGUAAAGCUCUUUUACCCGGGAUGAUAAUGACAGUACCGGGAGAAUAAGCUCCGGCUAACUCCGUG
RNAcentral lists this ribosomal RNA (433 nucleotides) under uncultured bacterium. RNAcentral describes it as "partial 16S ribosomal RNA". It matches the Rfam family "Bacterial small subunit ribosomal RNA", at positions 29 to 507 of the family's 1533-position model. The record is from RNAcentral.